CCAGCACAGAACCUGACACAGGGCUUGAACCCACGAACCGUGAGAUCAUAACUUGAGCCUAAGUCAGACACUCAACCAACUGAGCCACCCAGACGCCCCGGCUUAUGUUUCCUUUUGUGAAAUACAGCCUCUGUCUGACAGUGACUGCAGUUUACAAAGAGUAACCGGGCCAGACACCUGGGCAUCUGUGGUCCAGGAUGGCCAGGAGCUUCUGAUGCACAGGGCUGAAGCCAGAACCAGUAGAAAGAAGUGACCGGACCCUUCAAGAGACCACGGCAGAAGCAGGGUGGCCACGGCUGAUGGCAAAGGUAACUCUAGGCAGAGAGAGCUCAUGGUUCAGGGCCAGGCCAAACGCAGGACCCAUGGGAGGAUGUGCCACCCCAAAGAGGGGAAGACCAAGGAUGGCAAGGGCGGCUUCAGGGUGAAAAGCA
This is a long non-coding RNA of Herpailurus yagouaroundi (jaguarundi), 431 nucleotides long. RefSeq lists it as uncharacterized. The transcript has 2 exons. Lineage: Eukaryota; Metazoa; Chordata; Mammalia; Carnivora; Felidae. The record is from RefSeq and is a predicted model, not a curated record.